Molecule: RNA transcript, 2483 nt
Organism: Talpa occidentalis (Iberian mole)
Lineage: Eukaryota; Metazoa; Chordata; Mammalia; Eulipotyphla; Talpidae
Gene: PRKAG3
Gene name: protein kinase AMP-activated non-catalytic subunit gamma 3
Exons: 14
Source: RefSeq, a predicted model, not a curated record
GGCAGGCCGGGGCCAGAGGCCAGGCCCAGAAUAGUGCUGCCCAGCCGCAGUGUCUUGCUCUUUGUUGGUCCAGGCUGGCCGCAUGGAGCCCGAACUGGAGAGCGCGCUGCCCACGACCCCAUCCUGGAGCAGCCUUGGGGUACCAGAGCAUCAAGCCAAACAGAUCCCCUUCUGCUUUGCAGAGAUGGACUUCCUAGGGCAAACAGAUAGCAAUUCGUGGCCAUCUCUGGCUGUAACCACCAGUUCAGAAAGAAGCCAGGGGAGACGGGGGGCCAAGGCCUUGAGAUGGACAAGGCAAGAGGCUGUGGAGGAGGAAGACCUACCAGGCCUGGAGGAAGGAUCCCCAUCCAGGACAGCUGCUGAGUCCACCAGGCUGGAGGCCACAUUCCCUAAGGCCACACCCUUGGCACAAGCUGCUCCCAUGGCCAGGGUGGACACCUCACCAAUAGAAUGGGACUUCCUCCCUCCUGACUGUGCAGCCUCAGCUGCUGUCACCAGGACUGGUAAUCUGGGGCUGGGCAGAGAGUUCCCAGCCACGGCAGCCUGGGGGUAUGAGCUGGAGAGCUUGGCAGCAGAGAGGCCUGGCCCAUGCCCAUCCCCACAGGCCCCGUUACCUAGACUGGGCUGGGUCGAUGAACUACAGAAGCCGGAGGCCCAGGUCUACAUGCACUUCAUGCAGGAGCACACCUGCUAUGACGCCAUGGCCACCAGCUCCAAGCUGGUCAUCUUCGACACCACGCUGGAGAUCAAGAAGGCCUUCUUUGCCCUGGUGGCCAAUGGUGUCCGGGCGGCCCCGCUGUGGGACAGCAAGAAGCAGAGCUUUGUGGGGAUGCUGACCAUCACGGAUUUCAUCUUGGUGCUGCAUCGCUAUUACAGAUCCCCCCUGGUCCAGAUCUAUGAGAUUGAAGAACAUAAGAUUGAGACCUGGAGAGAGAUCUACCUUCAGGGCUGCUUCAAGCCUCUUGUCUCCAUCUGUCCUAAUGACAGCCUCUUUGAAGCUGUCUACAGCCUCAUCAAAAACCGGAUCCACCGCCUACCGGUCCUGGACCCUGUGUCGGGCACUGUGCUUUACAUCCUCACGCACAAGCGGCUGCUGAAGUUCCUGCACAUUUUUGGUGCCCUGUUGCCCCGGCCCUCCUUCCUCUCCCGCACUGUUCAAGAUUUGGGCAUCGGCACGUUCCGAGACCUGGCUGUGGUGCUGGAAACAGCACCUGUCCUCACUGCGCUGGAUAUCUUUGUGGAUCGACGCGUGUCUGCGCUGCCGGUGAUCAACGAAGCUGGUAUCACACCCGGGACAGGCGCCCUGGGUCAGGUCGUGGGCCUCUACUCCCGCUUUGAUGUGAUUCACCUGGCUGCCCAGCAAACCUACAACCACCUAGACAUGAGUGUGGGAGAAGCUCUGAGACAGAGGACACUGUGUCUGGAGGGAGUCCUGUCCUGCCAGCCCCAUGAAAGUCUGGGGGAAGUCAUUGACCGGAUUGCCCAGGAGCAGGUACACCGGCUGGUGUUAGUGGACGAGACCCAGCAUCUUCUGGGCGUGGUGUCCCUCUCUGACAUCCUCCAGGCACUGGUGCUCAGCCCUGCUGGCAUCAGCGCCCUCAGUGCCUGAGAAUGUCCAAGUCCUCACUCCAAGGGCACCUUCCACGCCCGGAAGCCGAUGGCGGGAGCCGGGGGACUCAGCCUUCCUCUUCCUCCACUGUUGUUUGCUGGUUCAGCUCUGAUUCAGCCUUCGCCAGCUCCCCCUACUUGCCCUUGUCUUGCCUGUGCUCCCAAAAGCCCUCAGGAAUGCCCAGUGCACCAAGGGACGAUGGAAUGAAGGAGAACCGCAGCGUCAAGCCUGGAGAUCUUGAGCCAGAGGCACUGGGGUUCCCCUAGGGUCAAUUGCUUUAUGCCCACCCAUAUUGCUUUCCCCCCACUGGGUCAUGACUGGCCCAAGAGGGCAUGAGCCAGCAGCCCAGCAUUGAUCAGGGGCUCUGGAUCCCUCAGCUCUGGACGACCUGCCACUUGUGCCCCCAGCUCCCGGGAGGCCUGGCCCCGUCCCCACGAGGGGAGCCACAAGUGCCUCCUUCCUCCCAGGCGCUGUCUGUCAUGCCAGGGCUGCCGGGGCCACCAUGGGGCGGCAGUUCUCUGCCGAGCUGCGCGUGGGAGCAGACUGCGCCCUCCACCUCAUCCUUAGCUCUCGCCCCCGAAUGAUGUUCUCAGCCCUCAGAGAUGACCCUGUAUUCGGAUCACUGAGGAUGGAUGAUCAAGAAAAAAACAAAACAAAAAAGGACAACCUAUGAACUUGGAUUUUAUAAGUUUCACCCAGAAAAUGCUCCAGUCAUUUGAUCUGAACUUGUGGCAAGGUCCCUAUGCUUUCUGAAUUCAAAGGCACAAAGGAAAACUCUGCAAGUGGCAUUUCUUCUGUGUAUAGGCUGUGACUCCACCAACAGGUCUUUUUCACCUUUUACCUUUUAUUUAUAACAAAACCAUAAAAAAUUAUU